Long non-coding RNA from Balaenoptera acutorostrata (minke whale), 1248 nucleotides. RefSeq lists it as uncharacterized. The transcript is spliced from 4 exons. The record is from RefSeq and is a predicted model, not a curated record. NCBI's taxonomy places the organism in Eukaryota, Metazoa, Chordata, Mammalia, Artiodactyla, Balaenopteridae.
CCUGAAAGCAUGAGAAGACCUGGUUAGGCCAGCAGACACGAGGGAAAGAACAAGGAAGCUGAACUCUAGUAAACAGCUGUCAAACUUAGUUAGUUGUCUGGGCUUUUCUGCUCUUGUAUGUAACGAUUUGUUGAAUUAAAUAAUGGCUAGAGUCCUUAUUAGGGACUGUUAGCUUAUAUGUGACAGACUGCAAAAAUUGGCCAUAAAUACUUUGCAGCUCUUCCCCAUCAAGGCGCAGAGUCUGCUUCUCCACCUCUUGAAUCUGGGCUUGGCUCUAUGACUUGCUUUUGGCCAAUGGUACAUGAGCAAGCAUGGCUUGAAAAAAGUUGUCGGGAACCUUUCCACCACUAUGUAAGCAAGCCUGGCUAUCUGCUGGAGAGACCACGUGGAGAGAGGCUCCAGAAACACAGGGAAUCCAAAGACCAUCAAUUGGCCUGGACCCAAGACUGACCGUGGAUCUUCCCAACUACCAUUUCAUCAUUUUGCUGAUGAUAUUGCACUCUUGGCUUGGAUCAGCUUAUUCAGCAGUGAAGCUCUAGUGCCAUUGUAAUGACUACUCCUGCUGCCUGGGAUGCCCUUGUUUUACUGGCAAACUCCUACAAGUUCUUCCAGACCACUCUGCUUUGACAUCUCCCUGAACGCCAGCCUCACACUUGGCAGUACCUGGAAACUGGUCCCCAUCGGACUCCUCCCUCAGCUGCUCACUCCUCCGGCUCUCUCGGGCCUCCCUCCAGCGCAGCUUCUGGAUGGAUGGAUUUCGGAGGCAUUUCCGGAUGCGGCACUUUUUCCGCUGCACGGUCUCCGGGCAGGAUGCACCUCCAAACUGAGGCUCCAUUUGGAUCAUGCGGGUUCGAAUCAUGUGGCCUUUCCCACAUGACUUGUUACAUUCCGACCAUUGGGACCACUCGGUGAGCUCACAGUCAAUGGCUGGCAAGACACAGAUGGGCGUGAGUGUAUCUCAUGUCUGAAACAAGAUAUGGUCACUUAUACUCUCCUUUGAACAUCUCAGCACAAGCCUAUGGGAAAUGCACAGCAGGUGCUGUUACCCCAUUUUACAGAAGAAGAAACUGAGGCUCCAAGAGACAGACUGACUUUAUCCAGCCCACACGGUUGUGGGCAGCGUGCACACGGAGCCGUCCUCCGGGAACUGCUUCACGUACCUCUCCCGGGACCGCAUGCCAGUGCCGCAGGAGAUGCUGCAGGGCGACCAGGUGAUCCACUCGGACAUGGUGCAGGUGGAGCCGUCUG